GUUUAGCUAAACGGGUUCGUGGGUUCAACCUGAAACUGGCCCGAACCCGUUUAGACUAAACCCAAACCCACGAAUUUCGUGUUAGGUUCGUAUCAUGUUUUCGGAUCGUGUCAGAAAUUCACACCCCUAAAGAUAUAUGCUUAAUAUUUUACAUCUCUUGAUGUGGGUCAUGUUCUUCUCAUUGUGGCUUCCUUCGUAUUGCUCCCUUUUCACCGGUACUCGCUGGUGUUGGGGAUGCUUGUGGUGCUAAUGUUCAUCCCAAUUUACAAUUUAUGAGCGCAUUAUAUGGGGCCUUGCUAUAGCUAGGUUGAUUUUCUGACUUAAUAAAGUGAUAUUUCAAAUUUAAAGUGGAACUUUUUGAAUCAAAACUUUAGUUAAAAGUGGUUUAGAUGUAAAAAAGUUGAUGCAUGUGAUUUAACUUGUUGUAUAAAGUAGGUACACUGUUGGGUGGUAUAUGUUACAUACAGAAUAAAAAUGGUUUUGAGUAGAGGUGUAGUGGUUUGAAUUGAUGAACCCAACACGACUAGUAAGCUGACACGUUGUAAAUAGGUCGUAAACAGAUUGAACAUAUACAAUAUUUUUUUAUUUUAUGAGUUUAUUUUUUAAUAGGUUGACGUGUUAACUUGUUUGAUUAAACAGGUUAUAUAAGUCAGCUUAUUUCAUUUUACAGUUUAAAUGGGUCAGCCUAUUUCAUUCUGCAGUUUAAAUGGGCCAGCCUGUUUCAUUUUACAGUUUACACGGGUCUUUUCGAACUAUUAACGAACCGAUCUCGGUUAGCUCUUGAGCGGUCUGACUCUUGUUUACACCCCUAGUAUGGAAGGAUAACACUGAUUAAUAUUUGCAUUGUUUUGUUCAACCUGCAGGACCUAUGUAGGAUCGUUGUUGAACCCGAAUGAGUCAAUCAGAAGAGUUGUGAAUCCGAUUCAAAGGCGGAAUCAGUGAAACGGACGCUCAAACUAAUUAUAAUGCUUCUUUGAUUGAUUUAACAACGUUUACAACCUGAAAGCAAUUUGGCAGCACUUCGUUACAAUUUCCAGAUCUGUUGCCAAAUGAACAACAAUGCACCUAUAUAUAGUUGAGUCAAUAGACGUAAUGCACUAACAGACUCCCCCUCGGAUAUUGACAAAGUCUUCAGUGGCUAUUCUCUGUUAUGACACCUCUUCAGUCUUGAUCAUUUUGCCUUCUCAUUCAGAUUGUA
This 1198-nucleotide long non-coding RNA is filed under the name Helianthus annuus (common sunflower). RNAcentral's name for it is "sRNA HanXRQr2_Chr16g0749191". The record is from RNAcentral. Lineage: Eukaryota; Viridiplantae; Streptophyta; Magnoliopsida; Asterales; Asteraceae.